AUGGCAAUUGUCCAUACAUACGGGAAGCCUGACAUCUUCUUGACCAUGACUUGCAACCCUAAAUGGGAAGAGAUAACAAAUGAGUUGCUUCCUGGACAGACAGCGCAAGACCGACCUGAUAUUGUGUCUCGCGUGUUCUAUGGCAAACUAGAGGCUAUGAAAGAUAUGUUGCUCAAGAAGAUGGUCCUGGGUGUUAUUGUUGCUUAUGUGUACGUAGUCGAGUUCCAGAAGAGAGGCCUCCCCCACGCACAUUUUUUGUUGAUCAUGGAUUCAACAUAUAAGCUUCUUGUCCCACAGCAGUAUGACCGACUCAUUUCCACAGAGCUCCCAAACAGGCAGAAGUAUCCGAAAUUGUACGCAAUGGUGGUAAAACAUAUGAUGCACAGACCAUGCGGUGCUCUCAACCCGAAGAAUGUUUGCAUGCAAGAUAAUGAAUGCAAGUGCAGAUACCCGCGGCCGUUCAAUGAGAACACGGUACAAGGCAAGGACUCAUACCCAGUUUACCGGCGUAGAGACGAUGGUAGACAGCGCUAA
This 534-nucleotide ribosomal RNA is filed under the name Triticum aestivum (bread wheat). Its description in RNAcentral is "partial small subunit ribosomal RNA". Lineage: Eukaryota; Viridiplantae; Streptophyta; Magnoliopsida; Poales; Poaceae. The record is from RNAcentral.